GACGUAGGGCGCGAGCGUUGUCCGGAUUUAUUGGGCGUAAAGAGCUCGUAGGCGGCUUGUCGCGUCGUCCGUGAAAACCUGCAGCUCAACUGCAGGCUUGCGGUCGAUACGGGCAGGCUAGAGUUCGGUAGGGGAGACUGGAAUUCCCGGUGUAGCGGUGAAAUGCGCAGAUAUCGGGAGGAACACCGGUGGCGAAGGCGGUUCUCUGGGCCUUACCUGACGCUGAGGAGCGAAAGCGUGGGGAGCGAACAGG
RNAcentral lists this ribosomal RNA (253 nucleotides) under uncultured bacterium. Its description in RNAcentral is "partial 16S ribosomal RNA". It matches the Rfam family "Bacterial small subunit ribosomal RNA", at positions 524 to 776 of the family's 1533-position model. The record is from RNAcentral.